Non-coding RNA from Chlorocebus sabaeus (green monkey), 357 nucleotides. It matches the Rfam family "Metazoan signal recognition particle RNA". Rfam says of the family: The signal recognition particle (SRP) is a universally conserved ribonucleoprotein. It is involved in the co-translational targeting of proteins to membranes. NCBI's taxonomy places the organism in Eukaryota, Metazoa, Chordata, Mammalia, Primates, Cercopithecidae. The record is from Rfam.
GCCGGGUGCGGUGGCUCACGCCUGUAAUCCCAGCACUUUGAGAGGCGAAGGUGGGCGGAUCACAAGGUCAGUAGAUCGAGACCAUCCUGGCCAACAUAGGGAAACCCCGUCUCUACUAAAAAAUACAAAAAUUAGCUGGGCGUGGUGGCAUGCAUCUGUAAUCCUGGCUACGCAGGAGGCUGAGGCAGGAGAACCACNNNNNNNNNNGUGGUUCUCCUGCCUCAGCCUCCUGCGUAGCCAGGAUUACAGAUGCAUGCCACCACGCCCAGCUAAUUUUUGUAUUUUUUAGUAGAGACGGGGUUUCCCUAUGUUGGCCAGGAUGGUCUCGAUCUACUGACCUUGUGAUCCGCCCACCUU